Molecule: long non-coding RNA, 259 nt
Organism: Etheostoma spectabile (orangethroat darter)
Lineage: Eukaryota; Metazoa; Chordata; Actinopteri; Perciformes; Percidae
Exons: 4
Source: RefSeq, a predicted model, not a curated record
UUGGAAUUUCUUUAAACCAAUCACAAUUGUGUACAGUGCCGCUGCAAAAUAGCAUUGGGAAGGAACCUGUUUUGGUGGAACAUUUGAAUGUUCAAACUUUGUUUUAGUCGUGCUACAAACUCAGAUUGGACAGAUAGUCUAUCUAGCUGUCUGGAUUUACCCUGCAGAGAUCUGAGGAGCAGUUAACAAUAAUCCUCAAAAAUACACAGGAGUUUAGAACGGCAACAACAAAGAAAGAGGAAGGUGACGGACAUCCGGC